CCGUGAAAAAAUUAGAGUGUUCAAAGCAGGCAGAUAUUUUAUUACUGCCACCGAAUACAUUAGCAUGGGAUAAUGGAAUAGGACCCUGUCCUUCAUGUUUCGCGUUGGUUGUGCACCAAAAGGACAAGAAUGGUUGUGUGUGCGCGUGCAAACGCGUACCAUAGCUAUUUUUUGUUUUUUUUUUGGUGCAUGGUUUCGUCUAAAGGAGGACCAGGGUAAUGAUUAAUAGGGAUAGUUGGGGGCAUUAAUAUUUAAUUGUCAGAGGUGAAAUUCUUGGAUUUAUGAAAGAUUAACUUCUGCGAAAGCAUCUGCCAAGGAUGUUUUCAUUAAUCAAGAACGAAAGUUAGGGGAUCGAAGACGAUUAGAUACCGUCGUAGUCUUAACCAUAAACCAUGCCGACCAGCGAUUGGGAGACGUUUCACACGGAGGUGGCCUCGGGGGGCAUUUUUGCUGUUCCGUCGCGCAAGCGGCGGGCGCAAUGUGUCCCUUUUUGGGGCUGCUUCCACUAAAGGAUGACUCCC
This 521-nucleotide ribosomal RNA is filed under the name Acanthamoeba astronyxis. RNAcentral's name for it is "partial 18S ribosomal RNA". It matches the Rfam family "Eukaryotic small subunit ribosomal RNA", at positions 755 to 1080 of the family's 1831-position model. Lineage: Eukaryota; Discosea; Longamoebia; Acanthamoebidae. The record is from RNAcentral.